This 653-nucleotide ribosomal RNA is filed under the name Escherichia coli. RNAcentral's name for it is "partial 23S ribosomal RNA". It matches the Rfam family "Bacterial large subunit ribosomal RNA", at positions 577 to 1230 of the family's 2925-position model. Lineage: Bacteria; Pseudomonadati; Pseudomonadota; Gammaproteobacteria; Enterobacterales; Enterobacteriaceae. The record is from RNAcentral.
GCACAGAGCAAUCUGUGUGACUGCGUACCUUUUGUAUAAUGGGUCAGCGACUUAUAUUCUGUAGCAAGGUUAACCGAAUAGGGGAGCCGAAGGGAAACCGAGUCUUAACUGGGCGUUAAGUUGCAGGGUAUAGACCCGAAACCCGGUGAUCUAGCCAUGGGCAGGUUGAAGGUUGGGUAACACUAACUGGAGGACCGAACCGACUAAUGUUGAAAAAUUAGCGGAUGACUUGUGGCUGGGGGUGAAAGGCCAAUCAAACCGGGAGAUAGCUGGUUCUCCCCGAAAGCUAUUUAGGUAGCGCCUCGUGAAUUCAUCUCCGGGGGUAGAGCACUGUUUCGGCAAGGGGGUCAUCCCGACUUACCAACCCGAUGCAAACUGCGAAUACCGGAGAAUGUUAUCACGGGAGACACACGGCGGGUGCUAACGUCCGUCGUGAAGAGGGAAACAACCCAGACCGCCAGCUAAGGUCCCAAAGUCAUGGUUAAGUGGGAAACGAUGUGGGAAGGCCCAGACAGCCAGGAUGUUGGCUUAGAAGCAGCCAUCAUUUAAAGAAAGCGUAAUAGCUCACUGGUCGAGUCGGCCUGCGCGGAAGAUGUAACGGGGCUAAACCAUGCACCGAAGCUGCGGCAGCGACGCUGAUGCGUUGUUGGGUA